This 1346-nucleotide ribosomal RNA is filed under the name uncultured bacterium. RNAcentral's name for it is "partial 16S ribosomal RNA". It matches the Rfam family "Bacterial small subunit ribosomal RNA", at positions 28 to 1381 of the family's 1533-position model. The record is from RNAcentral.
GACGAACGCUGGCGGCGUGCUUAACACAUGCAAGUCGAACGGAAAGGCCCUGCUUUUGUGGGGUGCUCGAGUGGCGAACGGGUGAGUAACACGUGAGUAACCUGCCCUUGACUUUGGGAUAACUUCAGGAAACUGGGGCUAAUACCGGAUAGGAGCUCCUGCUGCAUGGUGGGGGUUGGAAAGUUUCGGCGGUUGGGGAUGGACUCGCGGCUUAUCAGCUUGUUGGUGGGGUAGUGGCUUACCAAGGCUUUGACGGGUAGCCGGCCUGAGAGGGUGACCGGCCACAUUGGGACUGAGAUACGGCCCAGACUCCUACGGGAGGCAGCAGUGGGGAAUAUUGCACAAUGGGCGGAAGCCUGAUGCAGCAACGCCGCGUGCGGGAUGACGGCCUUCGGGUUGUAAACCGCUUUCGCCUGUGACGAAGCGUGAGUGACGGUAAUGGGUAAAGAAGCACCGGCUAACUACGUGCCAGCAGCCGCGGUGAUACGUAGGGUGCGAGCGUUGUCCGGAUUUAUUGGGCGUAAAGGGCUCGUAGGUGGUUGAUCGCGUCGGAAGUGUAAUCUUGGGGCUUAACCCUGAGCGUGCUUUCGAUACGGGUUGACUUGAGGAAGGUAGGGGAGAAUGGAAUUCCUGGUGGAGCGGUGGAAUGCGCAGAUAUCAGGAGGAACACCAGUGGCGAAGGCGGUUCUCUGGGCCUUUCCUGACGCUGAGGAGCGAAAGCGUGGGGAGCGAACAGGCUUAGAUACCCUGGUAGUCCACGCUGUAAACGGUGGGUACUAGGUGUGGGGUCCAUUCCACGGGUUCCGUGCCGUAGCUAACGCUUUAAGUACCCCGCCUGGGGAGUACGGCCGCAAGGCUAAAACUCAAAGGAACUGACGGGGCCCCGCACAAGCGGCGGAGCAUGCGGAUUAAUUCGAUGCAACGCGUAGAACCUUACCCGGGUUUGACAUGGAUCGGGAGUGCUCAGAGAUGGGUGUGCCACUUUUGGGGUCGGUUCACAGGUGGUGCAUGGCUGUCGUCAGCUCAUGUCGUGAGAUGUUGGGUUAAGUCCCGCAACGAGCGCAACCCUUGUUCACUGUUGCCAGCACGUUAUGGUGGGGACUCAGUGGAGACCGCCGGGGUCAACUCGGAGGAAGGUGGGGAUGACGUCAAGUCAUCAUGCCCCUUAUGUCCAGGGCUUCACGCAUGCUACAAUGGCUGGUACAGAGAGUGGCGAGCCUGUGAGGGUGAGCGAAUCUCGGAAAGCCGGUCUCAGUUCGGAUUGGGGUCUGCAACUCGACCUCAUGAAGUCGGAGUCGCUAGUAAUCGCAGAUCAGCAACGCUGCGGUGAAUACGUUCCCGGGGCU